GGGUCCGCACAAGCGGUGGAGCAUGUGGUUUAAUUCGAUGAUACGCGAGGAACCUUACCUGGGCUCGAAUUCAUAGUGAAUUAUCCAGAAAUGGGUAAGUCUUCGGACACUAUGGAAGGUGCUGCAUGGCUGUCGUCAGCUCGUGCCGUGAGUGUUGGGUUAAGUCCCCGCAACGAGCGCAACCCCUACUGUUAGUUGCCAGCAUUUCGGAUGGGGACUCUAACAGGACUGCCUACGCAAGUAGAGAGGAAGGAGGGGACGACGUCAAGUCAUCAUGGCCCUUACGCCCAGGGCUACACACGUGCUACAAUGGGAGAUACAGAGGGUAGCUACAUAGCAAUAUG
This 344-nucleotide ribosomal RNA is filed under the name uncultured bacterium. RNAcentral's name for it is "bacterial SSU rRNA". It matches the Rfam family "Bacterial small subunit ribosomal RNA", at positions 917 to 1264 of the family's 1533-position model. The record is from RNAcentral.